This 1206-nucleotide long non-coding RNA is filed under the name Phascolarctos cinereus (koala). RNAcentral's name for it is "lncRNA (ENSPCIG00000034503.1)". The record is from RNAcentral. Lineage: Eukaryota; Metazoa; Chordata; Mammalia; Diprotodontia; Phascolarctidae.
AGGGGCCCUACAGCUGCACAGUUCACCCCAAGCCCAGUCAGAUCAGCCUUUCCCCCUCAACGGUGCCCCUUCGGUAAAGCUCAUUCCAAACUGAGAGCAUCUGGAGCGGAGGUGGGGCGGGAAGGGGAGAAGGGCUCCCCAGCCUCUAACAAUCCCAAGAAUAACAGGGCCAGAGUCCUUGGGUUGGAGUUGGGGGCGUGUGUGUUGGGUGGGGGGGGUGUCUCCUUCCAGCCCCACAUUAAUUUGCACCGCCCCCCCUUCCCCGCAGGAGAUGCCGCCGGGGCGCCCUUUCCGCAGUUGCUACAUGUCAUUGCUCCCUCCCCCGCCUGUCAAAGCAGACCCGGCGCCCCAGCUCCCCCGGCGCCCCCAAAUGCCCGUAGCUCCCCCCUCCGAAGUUUUGGGCGCGAGGGCCGCUGGGGGUGGGUGGGGACGGCGUCUGUCACAGCCCUGGCCCGGCCGAUCAGCACGUUCACCUCUCUCUCGGUGGCUCCGGGUGUCCGCAUCCUCCCGCUGGCACCAGCCACCCUCCCUCUCCUUCCCUCCCUCCUUCCCCUCCCCCCGCAGGCCGGCCCAGCUCCCCGAGGCACAGGAGUGAGCGGAGCCCCCAGGGCGGGGAGGAGCGGCCGCAGGUACCCCGGGGCGGGCGGGGACGGGGAACGGGGCGGGCGGGGUCCGGGCUGCGCCCCCAGCCCAGCCGGGCGGGGGGAGCGGGGCUGGGCGGCGCUGCCUCGGGCUCUGUGCGCUGCAGCCCGAAGCCGAGGAGCAGGAGGAGCAGGAGGAGGAGGAAAAGGAGGAGGAGGAGGAGGAGGCGGCGGCGGAUCCCGGGUGGGGGGAGUGCAGCGCUGCGGACCCGGGCGACUGGUAAAGGACGAGGCGGAGGCUGAGGAAGGAAGCAGGGAGACCCCGGCUACAGCAACAAAGGGCAGCGAGCGAUUGGCCGGGGCCGGAGGCGAGGUCAGCUGGGGGCUGGGGUGGCCAGAGCCCGCGAUGGCGAUUGCACGUGCUUGCAGACACGGGCGAGCGCCGAGCUGGAGGUGCACGCCCGGAGGGGUAGGGGGGCGCGUCCCCUCGGGAGGGGACGUGGAGAGGGUAGUUACACCGCUCCGCCACAGCCCGGGGAUAGCAGCUGAGAGGGUGUGUGUGUCGGGGGAAGGAUGCGAGCCCAUAGGCGGGCGAGUGAUCGCCCAGGACCGGAGGGGGGACUGA